Molecule: ribosomal RNA, 433 nt
Filed under: uncultured bacterium
Lineage: Bacteria
Description: bacterial SSU rRNA
Rfam family: Bacterial small subunit ribosomal RNA
Source: RNAcentral
UGCUUGCACUCCAGUGGCGAACGGGUAGAGUAAUACAUAGGUAGCCUGUCCUUAAGACGAGGAUAGCUUCUAGAAAUGGAAGAUAAAACUAGGAUAAGGACAUCACAAAUCACAUGAUUAGAUGUUUAAAAGAGCAAUCUACUUAAGGAGGGGCCUGUGGCGCAUUAGCCAGAUGGCGGGGUAAUGGCCCACCAUAGCGAUGAUGCGUAGCCGGUCUGAGAGGACGAACGGCCACAUUGGGACUGAGACACGGCCCAGACUCCUACGGGAGGCAGCAGUAGGGAAUUUUCGGCAAUGGGCGGAAGCCUGAACCCGAGCAAUGCCGCGUGAAUGAAGAAGUAUUUCGGUAUGUAAAGUUCUUUUAUUUGGGACGAAAAAACAAAUUGACGGUACCAAAUGAAUAAGCCCCGGCUAACUAUGUGCCAGCCGCAGC